CAGCGACGCCGCGUGAGGGAUGACGGCCUUCGGGUUGUAAACCUCUUUCAGUAGGGAACAAGGCUGCACGUUGUGUGGUUGAGGGUACUUGCAGAAGAAGCGCCGGCUAACUACGUGCCAGCAGCCGCGGUAAU
This 134-nucleotide ribosomal RNA is filed under the name uncultured bacterium. RNAcentral's name for it is "partial 16S ribosomal RNA". It matches the Rfam family "Bacterial small subunit ribosomal RNA", at positions 389 to 524 of the family's 1533-position model. The record is from RNAcentral.